AAAAUGCGACAACUGCGCUAGGCUGGGCACAGAGCAGUGGCUACACCACUGUGAACGCGGUGGGGGAUGAUGCCGGUGUUGUGUGCUAUCA
Molecule: non-coding RNA, 91 nt
Filed under: Goniomonas pacifica
Lineage: Eukaryota; Cryptophyceae; Goniomonadida; Goniomonadaceae
Source: RNAcentral